AUUGGCAGCAGUGGGGAAUAUUGGGCAAUGGGGGCAACCCUGACCCAGCGACGCCGCGUGAGGGAAGAAGGCCUUAGGGUCGUAAACCUCUGUUGUGUGGGAAGAAGGAAGUGACGGUACCACACGAGGAAGUCCCGGCUAACUACGUGCCAGCAGCCGCGGUAAUACGUAGGGGACGAGCGUUGCCCGGAAUUACUGGGCGUAAAGGGCGCGUAGGCGGUCAUUUAAGUCAGCUGUGAAAUGGUCCGGCUCAACCGGAUCAUGCGGUUGAAACUGGAUGACUGGAGUGCUGGAGAGGCAAGUGGAAUUCCCAGUGUAGCGGUGAAAUGCGUAGAUAUUGGGAAGAACACCGGUGGCGAAGGCGACUUGCUGGCCAGCAACUGACGCUGAGGCGCGAAAGCCAGGGGAGCAAACGGGAUUAGAUACCCCGGUAGUCCUGGCCGUAAACGAUGAAUGCUAGGUGUGGGCAUCGAGAGGUGUCCGUGCCGGAGCUAACGCGAUAAGCAUUCCGCCUGGGGAGUACGAUCGCGAGAUUGAAACUCAAAUGAAUUGACGGAAU
RNAcentral lists this ribosomal RNA (559 nucleotides) under uncultured bacterium. Its description in RNAcentral is "bacterial SSU rRNA". It matches the Rfam family "Bacterial small subunit ribosomal RNA", at positions 344 to 919 of the family's 1533-position model. The record is from RNAcentral.